AGAACGUCGUGAGACAGUUCGGUCCCUAUCUGUCGUGGGCGUCGGAUAUUUGAGAGGAGUUGACCUUAGUACGAGAGGACCGGGUCGAACGCACCUCCGGUGCAUCGGUUGUACUGCCAAGUGCAUAGCCGGGUAGCCGAGUGCGGAUGUGAUAAACGCUGAAAGCAUCUAAGCGUGAAGCACACCUCAAGAUGAGAUAUCCCUUGCAUAAGCAAUAAGGUCACAGGUAGACUACCUGUUUGAUAGGUCGCAGGUGGAAGCGCAGUAAUGCGUGCAGCUGAGCGAUACUAAUCGACCGAGUGCUUGAACUG
RNAcentral lists this ribosomal RNA (311 nucleotides) under Clostridia bacterium. RNAcentral describes it as "partial 23S ribosomal RNA". It matches the Rfam family "Bacterial large subunit ribosomal RNA", at positions 2613 to 2925 of the family's 2925-position model. The record is from RNAcentral. Lineage: Bacteria; Bacillati; Bacillota; Clostridia.